RNAcentral lists this long non-coding RNA (1577 nucleotides) under Triticum aestivum (bread wheat). Its description in RNAcentral is "long non-coding RNA (TAES_LNC026704)". The record is from RNAcentral. Lineage: Eukaryota; Viridiplantae; Streptophyta; Magnoliopsida; Poales; Poaceae.
AAUGCUUGAUGAUGCGCCUCGUAUAUUCGAGGCUGUUUUCCAGUGUACCCUUGAGGUAGGAAUUACAACCUUGUUUGAUUGUUCGGUCUGGCCAGAUGAUUACUAAAAAUUUCGAAGAUUAUCUUGAGCCCGCCUCAAGUUUUUUUUUUCUUUACUUCAUGCUAUUGGCACCCAUUGCUUCAAAGCUUUAAUUCAGCUUUCCAGACAGGUUUAUGAUGACUUUUUUAAUUGCUACUAUCAGCUCCUUCGAUGUUAUCUAUUAAUACAGAAACCCAAAUUACUUCUCUUGAAUUUGAUCAUUGGACUAUUUGUUUCAGCAAUUGAAGCUUGUGAUGUAUUCGAUUAACUAAGUAUGCUUCCUGCUAUUUUUUUACACUAUUGUUAAUGCCAAACUGUUGUCAUGACUUACUGGUGAAAUUUAGAAGUGAUAUAUUUGCACAUAUAUACGGGUAUUUAACUUAACAUGAUCUGCAUGUUCUGAAUCUGCAGUUCUGCACUAUGCUCUGCUGGAUGUCGCCUAAGCAGAGGAUGCGGCAGUCUCGGCCACAUUUGGUUUUCCUAAGCUAAUGUGGGGUUUCUUUCCCUUAUAUUCUUGCAAGAUGUGGUAAUAUGUUUCAUGCCGUCUCCUGUUCGAUGAAAUGCCUGUGAGCUGAAACAUUUUGCAUUGCAUGUUUCUCUGCCUGUGCAGGUUCUUUGUUGGUUCGUUCGACCAUGCCGUUAACCAACAAGGUUAGGUCUAUUCAGAUUGCCUUGGGUUAUUACUUCUUGAUAAUAUAGGCCGUGAACUCCUGCAUUUGUGCGGCUAGGUUGCCUGUCUAUGUGUUUCGGGGUUCACCUUAUUAUGCUUGUCGUGCUUUGUAUGGGUUUUCCUUCAGAUCUUGUUAGAAAAAAAAUGUGUUCUUGAUUACUUAUGCUUGUCUUGGUGGUUUUCUUCCUGGGUGAUUGUGUGCUCAUAUGCCAUUGGUCGAUAUCCAUGUUUACAGAGGAUGCCCACUUUUCUUAGUUUCAUACCGAUUCUUAAUAGUCUUGCAAUGCCUGCUCGGGUUAGUUCUUUAAAUGAGUAGAGAUAAUAAAUGUAUGGGGGUUCCGAUAUCAAAUGUACCACCUGGUUAUUGUUUACCCAACUAAUACGUGCUGCUUGGUGAUAAAGGAAAAACAGCUAGAAAAAUAAUUAAUAAAGUGUACCAUCUGCUUAUUGUUUUAUACACAGUCGCUUGAUUCUUUUGUUCCUCUAUAGGCCUCUGAUCAUGUCUGCAGUGUGCGGCUAGGUUGUUCGUCCGUCUGGGUCGUAGGUUCUUUCCUUCCUGCCAACGGCGGGUACAAGACUCGAGCUUCUUUCCUUCCUGCCAACGGCGGGUACAAGACUCGAGCGGUUAAUGGGCAAGCACUAUAUGCACCAUUCAUCUAUGCUAAUAUAGCCUGUUUUGUAAAGCCAAUGUAUGCUAUCACCAAGUGAUCUGAAUAUUUUCUUUCAAGCAUCAAGCUUUCGUGUAAUGGAAUAUAAGUAUUUUAAGUUGAUUCUAAAUCAAUCUCAUACACAUGCUUUGAAUGCUUGGCUCACUCGCUUUUUGCGUCAU